This 494-nucleotide ribosomal RNA is filed under the name uncultured bacterium. RNAcentral's name for it is "partial 16S ribosomal RNA". It matches the Rfam family "Bacterial small subunit ribosomal RNA", at positions 28 to 507 of the family's 1533-position model. The record is from RNAcentral.
GACGAACGCUGGCGGCGUGCUUAACACAUGCAAGUCGAACGGUGAAGCGCCUUCCUUUUUGGUGGGUGUGGAUGAGUGGCGAACGGGUGAGUAACACGUGAGUAACCUGCCCCCUUCUUCUGGAUAACCGCAUGAAAGUGUGGCUAAUACGGGAUAUUCUGGGUCUGUCGCAUGAUGGGUCUGGGAAAGAUAUUGUUUCGGUGGGGGAAGGGCUCGCGGCCUAUCAGCUUGUUGGUGGGGUGAUGGCCUACCAAGGCGGUGACGGGUAGCCGGCCUGAGAGGGUGGGCGAUCACACUGGGACUGAGACACGGACCAGACUCCUACGGGAGGCAGCAGGGGGGAAUAGUGCACGAGGGGCGGAAGCCUGAUGCAGCGACGCCGCGUGAGGGAUGGAGGCCUUCGGGUUGUGAACCUCUUUCGCCAGUGAAGCAGGCCUGCCUCGUUUGUGGGUGGGUUGACGGUAGCUGGAUAAGAAGCGCCGGCUAACUACGUG